GCGGGCUUAGCUCAAUUGGCAGAGCGCGACCUUGCCAAGGUCGAGGUUGUGAGUUCGAACCUCAUAGCCCGCUCCA
Molecule: transfer RNA, 76 nt
Filed under: Verrucomicrobia bacterium CAG:312_58_20
Lineage: Bacteria; Pseudomonadati; Verrucomicrobiota
Also listed under: 4 other names
Description: tRNA-Gly
Rfam family: tRNA
About the family: Transfer RNA (tRNA) molecules are approximately 80 nucleotides in length. Their secondary structure includes four short double-helical elements and three loops (D, anti-codon, and T loops).
Source: RNAcentral